This 2893-nucleotide ribosomal RNA is filed under the name Phocaeicola vulgatus. RNAcentral describes it as "Bacteroides vulgatus 23S ribosomal RNA". It matches the Rfam family "Bacterial large subunit ribosomal RNA". The record is from RNAcentral. RNAcentral also lists the same sequence under 1 other name. Lineage: Bacteria; Pseudomonadati; Bacteroidota; Bacteroidia; Bacteroidales; Bacteroidaceae.
GGAUAAGGAAAGUAAAAAAGGGCGCAUGGCGGAUGCCUUGGCUCUCGGAGGCGAUGAAGGACGUGAUAAGCUGCGAUAAGCUUUGGGGAGGUGCAAAUGACCUUUGAUCCAGAGAUUUCCGAAUGGGACAACCCAAUAUCUUGAAGAGGUAUUAUCUUACUAUGUAAGAGGCUAACGCAGGGAACUGAAACAUCUUAGUACCUGCAGGAAAAGAAAAUAAACAAUGAUUCCCCCAGUAGUGGCGAGCGAACGGGGAACAGCCCAAACCAUCCAUGUUACGGCAUGGGUGGGGUUGUAGGACUACGCCGUUGCAUGAAGACAUCAGAGAAGAACUUUCUGGAAAGAAAGACCAUAGAGCAUGACAGUUGCGUAUUCGAAUGUUGUCGAAGCAUAGUAGUAUCCUGAGUAGCGCGGAGCACGAGGAAUUCUGCGUGAAUCUGCCGGGACCAUCCGGUAAGGCUAAAUACUCCCGAGAGACCGAUAGCGAACCAGUACCGUGAGGGAAAGGUGAAAAGCACUUCGAACAGAAGAGUGAAAUAGUUCCUGAAACCGUGCGCCUACAAGCGGUCGGAGCUCGUUAAUGAGUGACGGCGUGCCUUUUGCAUAAUGAACCUACGAGUUGCCUUUGCCGGCAAGGUUAAGUGUGACGACACACGUAUCCGAAGCGAAAGCGAGUCUGAACAGGGCGUAUAGUCGGCAGUGGCAGACGCGAAACCAAGUGAUCUACCCUUGGCCAGGUUGAAGGCUGGGUAACACCAGCUGGAGGACCGCACCAAUAAGCGUUGAAAAGCUUCUGGAUGAGCUGAGGGUAGGGGUGAAAGGCUAAUCAAACUUGGAGAUAGCUCGUACUCCCCGAAAUGCAUUUAGGUGCAGCCUUGCGGGUUACUGAUGUGAGGUAGAGCGACUGAUAAGAUGCGAGGGCUUCACCGCCUAUCAAGUCUUGACAAACUCCGAAUGCGCAUCAGUUCUACCGCAGGAGUGAGGGCAUGGGUGCUAAGGUCCGUGCCCGAGAGGAGAAGAAUCCGGACCACCUGCUAAGGUCCCGAAAUGACAGCUAAGUUAAACUAACGAAGUCUGACUGCUAAGACAGCUAGGAUGUUGGCUUGGAAGCAGCCAUUCAUUUAAAGAGUGCGUAACAGCUCACUAGUCGAGGAGUCGGGCGUGGAUAAUAAUCGGGUAUCAAGUUGUCUACCGAAGCAGUGGGAUCAUUUAUAUGAUCGGUAGGGGAGCAUUCCAGUCAGCGUCGAAGGCGUACCGUGAGGUAUUCUGGAGCGUCUGGAAAAGCAAAUGUAGGUAUAAGUAACGAUAAAGGGGGCGGGAAACCCCCUCGCCGAAAGACUAAGGUUUCCUGAUCAACGCUAAUCGGAUCAGGGUCAGUCGGGUCCUAAGGCUCAGCCGAACGGCGAUGCCGAUGGCAGAAACGGUUAAUAUUCCGUUACUACCUUCAGGAGUGACGUGGAGACGCAGUAGUGACAGUGCCGCCAUCUGACGGAAUAGAUGGUUGAAGGGUGUAGGAGUCGAUCAUGGCAGGCAAAUCCACCAUGAGAUCCGAACCUGACAGUAUGCCGCGUCCUUCGGGACAAGGCAAUAGUGCGCGUAAGCAUGCUGCCGAGAAAAUCCGCUAAACUUAAUCCUGCAGGUACCCGUACCGCAAACGGACACACGUAGUCGGGAUGAAUAUUCUAAGGCGCUUGAGUGAUUCACGGUUAAGGAACUAGGCAAACUGACCCUGUAACUUCGGGAUAAAGGGUCCCUACCCUUUUAUGGGAGGGCGCAGAGAAUCGGUCCAGGCAACUGUUUAACAAAAACACAGGGCUGUGCCAAAUCGAAAGAUCCAGUAUACAGCCUGACACCUGCCCGGUGCUGGAAGGUUAAGAGGAGAUGUCAUCGAUAAGAGAAGCGUUGAAUUGAAGCCCCAGUAAACGGCGGCCGUAACUAUAACGGUCCUAAGGUAGCGAAAUUCCUUGUCGGGUAAGUUCCGACCUGCACGAAUGGUGUAAUGAUCUGGACGCUGUCUCAACCGUGAGCUCAGUGAAAUUGUAGUAUCGGUGAAGAUGCCGAUUACCCGCGAUGGGACGAAAAGACCCCGUGAACCUUUACUAUAGCUUAUCAUUGAAUCUGGGCACGUGAUGUGUAGGAUAGGUCGGAGGCUUUGAAGCAGGUACGCCAGUAUUUGUGGAGCCGCUGUUGAAAUACGACCCUUUAUUUGUUUGGAUUCUAACCCGUGGAACGGGGACAUUGAUUGGUGGGUAGUUUGACUGGGGUGGUCGCCUCCAAAAGCGUAACGGAGGCUUCUAAAGGUGCCCUCCGGCCGAUUGGUAACCGGCCUUAGAGUGUAAUGGCAUAAGGGCGCUUGACUGGGAGACUGACAAGUCGAUCAGGUAGGAAACUAGAGCAUAGUGAUCCGGUGUUUCCGUAUGGAAGGGACAUCGCUCAAAGGAUAAAAGGUACUCCGGGGAUAACAGGCUGAUCCCUCCCAAGAGCUCAUAUCGACGGAGUGGUUUGGCACCUCGAUGUCGGCUCGUCACAUCCUGGGGCUGGAGAAGGUCCCAAGGGUUGGGCUGUUCGCCCAUUAAAGUGGCACGCGAGCUGGGUUCAGAACGUCGUGAGACAGUUCGGUCUCUAUCUAUCGUGGGCGCAUGAAAUUUGCGUGGCUCUGACACUAGUACGAGAGGACCGUGUUGGACAGACCUCUGGUUUGCCGGUUGUGCCGCCAGGUGCAUUGCCGGGUAUCUAAGUCUGGAUCGGAUAAGUGCUGAAAGCAUCUAAGUACGAAGCCGGCCACAAGAUUAGAUUUCUCAGGGUCGUUGUAGACUACGACGUUGAUAGGAUGCAGGUGUAAAGAUGGAGACAUCAAAGCCGAGCAUUACUAAUUGCCCGUUCACUUUCCUUA